RNAcentral lists this ribosomal RNA (262 nucleotides) under Pseudomonas aeruginosa. RNAcentral describes it as "partial 23S ribosomal RNA". It matches the Rfam family "Bacterial large subunit ribosomal RNA", at positions 2669 to 2925 of the family's 2925-position model. Lineage: Bacteria; Pseudomonadati; Pseudomonadota; Gammaproteobacteria; Pseudomonadales; Pseudomonadaceae. RNAcentral also lists the same sequence under 1 other name. The record is from RNAcentral.
GGGCUGCUCCUAGUACGAGAGGACCGGAGUGGACGCAUCACUGGUGUUCGGGUUGUCAUGCCAAUGGCACUGCCCGGUAGCUAAAUGCGGAAGAGAUAAGUGCUGAAAGCAUCUAAGCACGAAACUUGCCCCGAGAUGAGUUCUCCCUGACUCCUUGAGAGUCCUGAAGGAACGUUGAAGACGACGACGUUGAUAGGCCGGGUGUGUAAGCGCAGCGAUGCGUUGAGCUAACCGGUACUAAUGAACCGUGAGGCUUAACCUU